Molecule: ribosomal RNA, 264 nt
Filed under: uncultured archaeon
Lineage: Archaea
Description: partial 16S ribosomal RNA
Rfam family: Archaeal small subunit ribosomal RNA
Source: RNAcentral
ACACGACUACAUUAGAUACCCGCGUAGUCCUAGCCGUAAACGAUACUCGCUAGGUGUACUGGUGACCACGAGUCACCGGGGUGCCGAAGGGAAACCGUGAAACGUGCCGCCUGGGAAGUACGGUCGCAAGGCUGAAACUUAAAGGAAUUGGCGGGGAGCACCACAACGGGUGGAGCCUGCGGUUUAAUUGGACUCAACGCCGGAAAUCUCACCGGAUAGGACAGACAUAUGAUAGUCGGGCUGAAGACUCUACUUGAUGAUCUG